CUGUUGCUAUCCUCCUGAGUCCUCUUCUCUCUCUCUCUCUCUCAACCUAGCUUACAGUCUUCCUUUCAUUCUAGUUUUUUUCUUUUUCUUUUUUUUGAAAUAAUAUUCUUAUAAAGGUUUGAUGAGCUGAUGUAGCUAAAAGAAGUGAAAAAACCAAAUGGGUUCUUUUUCUUUUUAUGUGAUCUUGGCCGGAAUCUGUCAUGAGGUGGUACUUGCUAUAUGUUAGUCUCACCACACACAACCAGAGGGAGUGUGUUUUUGUCAGAAUCUUGCCGGAUAAAUAAAUCUGAUCCACUUAACUAAAAAUCUAUGAUUUCCCAAAGUACUAAAGCGCGUUAGUUCUUGAUUCCAUUUAUUAGAUUUUCUUUCUUUCCUUCUUUCUUCUCAUCUGAUAUAAAAAAAAUACUAUUAUAUUUUUAAUGUUGAAAAAGGGUACUGUCUUGUUAUAAAGUUCUGAGGUAAACAAGGUUGUAGGAUUCUUUCUCGGGCAUCCCCUUCACGUAUUCCCUUUUGGCCUUAACCAAUGGCAACAUGCCACAUCAGCUCCUUGCUCGUGGGUUUGUUGGUGUGCUAUGCUUAUGUGCUGUCCAAUAUUUCUCUGUGUUUCUCAAUUUUUUUCUUUACAAGAAUUUGCUAGUAUAUAUUAUUUGUUUGCUUAAUUUCAAUCUUGAAACCUUGUAGAGAGGAGGUAAAAAGAUGGGGCAUGGAAUUGAAGGCUAAAGGGGUUCUUGUGCAUGGAAAUAUUGACAAUCGUUGUUUGCGGGUGGAGCAUCAUCAAGAUUCACAUGCAAAAUGCACGGCCUGUGAUGUUAGAGUUAAAUCUUUCUUUGUUUCUGUUUAUCUGCCAAAGUUCUUUGGUAGUGAGAAUCUUGAUGAUGCUGCAUCGGCAAUAAACGACUAUACAACACAAAAGGACUUGGAAAAGAAAAAACACAGUUUGUGAGUGACACUUUGCUCCUGCUGACCAACAGCAAAUUAAAGCUUGCGGAGAAGGAAAAGGAAGGACACCCUUCGUUUUGCUGACUUUAGCAGAUCUGUGAUUAUUCCCUCCGAGGAAAAUAUUCAGGGGAUGCAAAUGGUAUCUUUUAUGUGUUGCAGAUGUGAUAGGUAACUUUGUUAAUAAGCAAGAAAGGUGAGGGAGGGAGGGGGAGGGAGAGAGAGAGUGUUGAUACCCUUGAUUGUGUUGAUGAUACGAUACGAGCUAAUAAAAUAUUGAGAUUAAAUAGGUGAAUUUAUUAGACCCCUUACUGUUUCCAUUUCUGGGUGUUUGAUUUGAGAUCCGUUACAGAUCUUUGAUUUGUUUCAAAGAAUGAUUGUUUUGGGUGGUUUUCGAUUCUCAUUUUUACACAAAGGCAAAGCAACGAUUAUGUAUGUGGAGGUUCUUUCUUUCCUUGGAAGAUAGACAUUGUUCAUUGGAGUCUCAUAAGACAGAAAGUAGAGCAUUGAAGCAGAAGCUGAUCACAUUGGUAAGGAUAAGAAAAAAUAAAGUGUGUAGUUUUUAUCAGAUUUUGUUAUUUAUGGGGUUUUUUUUUUAUUAUAUCAGCUAAAAUAGCUUAGCUUGAGUUUCAGAGUGUUCUCCAUCCCACAAUCUUUGUCUUCACUGGAAAUGAUUAAAAAUGCUCUUUGAUUAUUUUAUGGACAUUCUUCCAAAUGGUUUUUUCUGUGGAAUCAGUAGAUCCUUGAAAAUUAUUAACAGUUUUGAGAACUUUGGUAUGCGAAAACAUGGUGGGAACAGGUCAUAUUCUUACUGCCAUGGUUGUGUAGGCUUCGGCAUUAGAUCUCUGUACUCACCAAUCUUGUUGGUGGACCAUCUUAUCUUGCAAUUUGGACCCUCGCCUUGUAGUCCUACUUUUUUGCAGACUUAUUCAGUCACACCUAUUUUUUCACCUCUUUCAAUAAUAGCAACCUAAGAGAUUUGGCAAUUUAUUCUCCUUUUCUCUUCACAAUCCAUGACAGUGAUAACUCAGCCAUUUCAAGAUUAUAGAGAUCUGUGUGCCUCCAUCGCUGUCUUAAUCAUUGGUUCUCAUAUUCCAUGCCCAAGGUUUGAAUCCUCUCAUCUACUCUUCUUCUUUAUGAAUCUGAAACAAGGCAGUACAGAAGGGAAAAUUUAGGUUCACUGAUUUACGAACUGUUGUUUUGUUAUGUAUGAGUUUUAUUUCCCGUAUUGUGAUUCAAGAUGUUUCUUUUAACAAAUUAAUCUAAACAAUCUAUUAUUGGUCUUUA
This is a long non-coding RNA of Populus euphratica (Euphrates poplar), 2223 nucleotides long. RefSeq lists it as uncharacterized. Lineage: Eukaryota; Viridiplantae; Streptophyta; Magnoliopsida; Malpighiales; Salicaceae. The transcript has 2 exons. The record is from RefSeq and is a predicted model, not a curated record.